GGCAAUAUAUUAGCAUAAAGACUCGUCUUUAGCGCUAAUUGUUAAAUAUGCUAGUCCUUUCAUGAUUAUGUGAUAGGUGGUGCAUGGCCGUUCUUAGUUCGUGGAGUGAUCUGUCUGCUUAAUUGCGUUUCACUAAGGGCCCAUAAAUUCAAGGUAUGUUAGCAAAUGCUGCUCUAUUGACCCCUAAUAGGCUUAACUGUCUUUAGCGCGUGUCUCUACGAGUUCUUUAAAGCACUGCGCAUGCUGUUGGGUCCUGAAAGCAACGAACGUGACCGCAACGUCUUGUUGCCUCUCUAUAAUACCUUCUUAUUUUUAAUAAGAGUAUUUACCUGAGGCUAUUUUAAAACUANACGGACCGCUGUUUCUUUCUUAAACCANAGGAAGGUUGCGGCAAUAACAGGUCUGUGAUGCCCUUAGAUGUUCCGGGCUGCACACGUGCUACAAUGAUCAGUACAGUGAGCAUCUCAAUUUUAUAACACCGUAUUAAGCGCUUGGGUCGUAAUUGUUAGGCCUUUUGGGUUUUUUCAAUUGCGUUUCUCCAAUGCGCACGGUAAAGCCUGCUUCGAGAGUAAGUGGGUAAUCCAUUGGAAGUAAUGAUUUCCUUAUUUUUAUAAACAGCACACCAAUAUACGGCAUUCAUUCCCGAGACGGCUUAGUUCCGACUUUGUGCGAAUGUAAUGUAUUCUUAUCCGUAUGUGCGAUUGUCAAUUCAUGGUGGGGACAGACCAUUGUUAAUUGUUGGUCUCGGUCUUAACUAGGAAUGCCUUGUACGGGUCUUUGGUUCAACAAACCACCCGGAAUACGUCA
RNAcentral lists this ribosomal RNA (807 nucleotides) under Globorotalia inflata. Its description in RNAcentral is "SSU rRNA". It matches the Rfam family "Eukaryotic small subunit ribosomal RNA", at positions 1246 to 1651 of the family's 1831-position model. Lineage: Eukaryota; Foraminifera; Rotaliida; Globorotaliidae. The record is from RNAcentral.